RNAcentral lists this ribosomal RNA (253 nucleotides) under uncultured bacterium. Its description in RNAcentral is "partial 16S ribosomal RNA". It matches the Rfam family "Bacterial small subunit ribosomal RNA", at positions 524 to 776 of the family's 1533-position model. RNAcentral also lists the same sequence under 1 other name. The record is from RNAcentral.
UACGGAGGGUGCAAGCGUUAUCCGGAUUCACUGGGUUUAAAGGGUGCGUAGGCGGAUUAGAAAGUCCGUUGUGAAAUCUCUGAGCUUAACUCGGAAAUUGCGGUGGAUACUAUUAGUCUUGAAUACUGUGGAGGUUAGCGGAAUAUGUCAUGUAGCGGUGAAAUGCAUAGAUAUGACAUAGAACACCAAUUGCGAAGGCAGCUGGCUACACAGAUAUUGACGCUGAGGCACGAAAGCGUGGGGAUCAAACAGG